AAUAGAUACCCCGGUAGUCCACGCCGUAAACGAUGAGUGCUAAGUGUUAGGGGGUUUUCCGCCCCUUAGUGCUGCAGCUAACGCAUUAAGCACUCCGCCUGGGGAGUACGGUUGCAAGACUGAAACUCAAAGGAAUUGACGGGGGCCCGCACAAGCGGUGGAGCAUGUGGUUUAAUUCGAAGCAACGCGAAGAACCUUACCAGGUCUUGACAUCCCGUUGACCGCUAUGGAGACAUAGCUUUCCCUUCGGGGACAACGGUGACAGGUGGUGCAUGGUUGUCGUCAGCUCGUGUCGUGAGAUGUUGGGUUAAGUCCCGCAACGAGCGCAACCCUUGUUCUUAGUUGCCAUCAUUAAGUUGGGCACUCUAAGGAGACUGCCGGUGAUAAACCGGAGGAAGGUGGGGAUGACGUCAAAUCAUCAUGCCCCUUAUGACCUGGGCUACACACGUGCUACAAUGGACGGUACAAACGGUUGCGAAGUCGCGAGACGGAGCCAAUCCGAGAAAACCCGUUCUCAGUUCGGAUUGUAGGCUGCAACUCGCCUAC
RNAcentral lists this ribosomal RNA (546 nucleotides) under uncultured bacterium. RNAcentral's name for it is "bacterial SSU rRNA". It matches the Rfam family "Bacterial small subunit ribosomal RNA", at positions 777 to 1319 of the family's 1533-position model. The record is from RNAcentral.